GGUUCCAACACAUCAAGCCUCGUCCCUCUUCUCUCUCUACGAGCAUAGAACGAUGGAUCACGCGGCCGACGCGCACCGGACGGACUUGAUGACGAUCACCAGGCACGUGCUGAACGAACAGUCGAAGCACCCCGAGUCGAAGGGCGACUUCACCAUCCUCCUCUCCCACAUCGUCCUCGGCUGCAAGUUCGUCUGCUCCGCCGUCAACAAGGUCCUCCUCUUCCUCUUCCCCUCCACCAUUGCGUCUCCUAUUGCUAUCUCCACUUCGAUUCCACCUUGUUUGUUCUCACAGGCUGGCCUCGCCAAACUCAUAGGACUCGCAGGAGAGACGAACGUCCAGGGUGAAGAACAGAAGAAGCUGGACGUGCUCUCCAACCAAGUCUUCGUCAAGGCUUUGAUCAGCAGCGGUCGCACAUGUGUUCUUGUGUCAGAAGAGGAUGAGGAAGCCACCUUUGUGGAUCCAUCACUGCGUGGAAAGUACUGCGUCGUCUUCGAUCCCCUGGACGGUUCCUCUAACAUUGACUGUGGCGUCUCCAUUGGAACAAUUUUUGGCAUUUACAUGGUUAAAGAUAAGGAUAAUGUGAGCCUUGAUGAUGUGUUGCAACCAGGGAAGCAUAUGGUAGCAGCUGGCUACUGCAUGUACGGCAGUUCUUGCACUCUUGUGUUAAGCACCGGGAACGGUGUCAAUGGUUUCACUCUCGAUCCAUCUCUUGGAGAGUUCAUGCUCACCCAUCCGGACAUUAAGAUACCCAAGAGAGGCAAAUUGUACUCAGUGAACGAAGGAAAUGCCAAGAACUGGGAUACUCCUACAGCAAAGUUUGUGGAGAAAUGCAAGUUCCCAAAGGAUGGUUCAUCACCAAAAUCUCUGAGAUACAUUGGAAGUAUGGUUGCUGAUGUCCAUCGAACACUGCUGUAUGGAGGCAUCUUUUUGUACCCUGCAGAUAAGCAAAGUCCUAAUGGAAAACUACGCGUUCUGUAUGAGGUAUUUCCAAUGUCAUUCUUGAUGGAACAAGCAGGAGGUCAAGCAUUCACAGGAGAACAACGGGCCCUUGAUUUGGUUCCCACCAAGAUUCAUCAGAGGUCUCCAGUAUUUCUUGGCAGCUAUGAUGAUGUUGAGGAAAUUAAAGCUCUCUAUGCUGCCGAAGAGAAGAAAGCAUGAUCAACACACAUCAAACUCCAUCAUGCUUGUAUUCCCUGCUCAUAGUCCUCUCACACAGAACUAUGGUGUUGAACUUGUAUUCCCUGUAUACAAGAUGCUCUUCUCCCACAAAAAUGGUGUCUCCACUAUUGAUCCUGAGAUGCUAAGGAUGUGUAUGUGCUUAGAAGCGUGUAUCGGUUGCCUCACCUGGGCAGCAUCCCUGCUUUCAACGUGAUGAUUGAGAGAGCGCACAGAUAUCUGAAACUUCUCGCUGUAAAUAAGCUGCUGCUGCUGCUCCUGGUGAUGACCACAUUGCUACGUUUGGCUGGGAGUUCUUCGUCAACACUUGAAGUGUUGA
Molecule: non-coding RNA, 1496 nt
Organism: Musa acuminata subsp. malaccensis (wild Malaysian banana)
Lineage: Eukaryota; Viridiplantae; Streptophyta; Magnoliopsida; Zingiberales; Musaceae
Source: RefSeq, a predicted model, not a curated record